RNAcentral lists this non-coding RNA (47 nucleotides) under Ctenophora environmental sample. Lineage: Eukaryota; Metazoa; Ctenophora. The record is from RNAcentral.
UUUUUUUUUUUUUUUUUUUUUUUUAGAAGUUUGAUUAAUUAAAAAGC